AGACGGGUGAGUAAUACAUAGGUAACCUGCCUUUUAGUUUGGGAUAGCAAUUAGAAAUGAUUGGUAAUACCGAAUAAUAUAUAUGUAGAUAACUAUAUAUAUUAAAAGGAGCUUCGGCUCCGCUUUAAGAUGGGCUUAUGUUGUAUUAGCUAGUUGGUGAGGUAAUGGCUCACCAAGGCGACGAUGCAUAUCCGAGUCGAGAGGCUGAUCGGACACACUGGGACUGAGACACGGCCCAGACUCCUACGGGAGACAGCAGUUAGGAAUAUUCGACAAUGGGGGAAACCCUGAUCGAGCAAUGCCGCGUGAGUGAUGACGGUCCAUAGGACUGUAAAGCUCUGUUAUAGGGGAAGAACAACCAUUAUAGGAAAUGAUGAUGGUCUGACGGUACCCUAUCAGAAAGCCCCGGCUAACUACGUGCCAGCAGCCGCGGUAAUACGUAGGGGGCGAGCGUUAUCCGGAUUUAUUGGGCGUAAAG
Molecule: ribosomal RNA, 478 nt
Filed under: uncultured bacterium
Lineage: Bacteria
Description: bacterial SSU rRNA
Rfam family: Bacterial small subunit ribosomal RNA
Source: RNAcentral